AGUGAACGCUGGCGGUAGGCCUAACACAUGCAAGUCGAACGGCAGCACAGUAAGAGCUUGCUCUUACGGGUGGCGAGUGGCGGACGGGUGAGGAAUACAUCGGAAUCUACUUUUUCGUGGGGGAUAACGUAGGGAAACUUACGCUAAUACCGCAUACGACCUACGGGUGAAAGCAGGGGAUCUUCGGACCUUGCGCGAUUGAAUGAGCCGAUGUCGGAUUAGCUAGUUGGCGGGGUAAAGGCCCACCAAGGCGACGAUCCGUAGCUGGUCUGAGAGGAUGAUCAGCCACACUGGACCUGAGACACGGUCCAGACUCCUACGGGGGGCAGCAGUGGGGAAUAUUGGACAAUGGGGGCAAGCCUGAUCCAGCCAUACCGCGUGGGUGAAGAAGGCCUUCGGGUUGUAAAGCCCUUUUGUUGGGAAAGAAAAGCAGCAGGUUAAUACCCCGCUGUUCUGACGGUACCCAAAGAAUAAGCACCGGCUAACUUCGUG
RNAcentral lists this ribosomal RNA (492 nucleotides) under uncultured bacterium. Its description in RNAcentral is "partial 16S ribosomal RNA". It matches the Rfam family "Bacterial small subunit ribosomal RNA", at positions 29 to 507 of the family's 1533-position model. The record is from RNAcentral.